UACGGAGGGGGCUAGCGUUGUUCGGAAUUACUGGGCGUAAGGGCGCGCAGGCGGCUGCUCAAGUCAGGCGUGAAAGGCCUGGGCUCAACCCGGGAAUUGCGCUUGAGACUGGGCUGGCUUGAGUGCGGGAGAGGAUGGUGGAAUUCCCAGUGUAGAGGUGAAAUUCGUAGAUAUUGGGAAGAACACCGGUGGCGAAGGCGGCUAUCAUGAUCAAAACUGACGCUGAGGAACGAAAGCAUGGGGAGCAAACAGG
This 253-nucleotide ribosomal RNA is filed under the name uncultured bacterium. RNAcentral's name for it is "partial 16S ribosomal RNA". It matches the Rfam family "Bacterial small subunit ribosomal RNA", at positions 524 to 776 of the family's 1533-position model. The record is from RNAcentral.